GUUUGAUCCUGGCUCAGGAUGAACGCUGGCGGCGUGCCUAAUACAUGCAAGUCGAGCGAAUGGAUUAAGAGCUUGCUCUUAUGAAGUUAGCGGCGGACGGGUGAGUAACACGUGGGUAACCUGCCCAUAAGACUGGGAUAACUCCGG
Molecule: ribosomal RNA, 147 nt
Filed under: Bacillus thuringiensis serovar kurstaki str. HD-1
Lineage: Bacteria; Bacillati; Bacillota; Bacilli; Caryophanales; Bacillaceae
Description: partial small subunit ribosomal RNA
Rfam family: Bacterial small subunit ribosomal RNA
Source: RNAcentral